Magnolia sinica is the source of this 1088-nucleotide long non-coding RNA. RefSeq lists it as uncharacterized. NCBI's taxonomy places the organism in Eukaryota, Viridiplantae, Streptophyta, Magnoliopsida, Magnoliales, Magnoliaceae. The transcript is spliced from 2 exons. The record is from RefSeq and is a predicted model, not a curated record.
AGCAAAAUGAUCUCAGCCUUUCAUGGCCACUGAGCUGGGUGGAUCUUUGACUGUGGGGCCAACCAUGAUGUAUGUGUUUUAUAUCCACACCGUCCAUCCGUAUUGCCAGAUUAUUUUAUGGAAAUGAGCCCGAUAAUAAAGCAGAUCCACAUCUCAGGUUGAGCACGCUACAGAAAAAAUGUUGAUUGAUGCCCACAAUUAGAAACUUUUUGGGGCCACACAAGUUUUAGAUCAAGCUGAGAUUUAUGUUUUCCCUUCAUCUAGGUUAGUGAGACCUUAAUAACAGGUUGGAUGCAAAUAAACAUUGCGAUGGGCCUUAGAAAGUUUUAAAUGGUGAGUGUUCAAUCACUACUAUUUCUUGUGGUGUGGUCUAUCUCGGCUUUGGAUCUGCUUCGUUUUUAGUUCAUGCUCUUAAAAUGAGCUGGAAAAACGAAUGGACAAUAUGGGGUAUAAAACAUAUACAUCACAGUUGCCUCCCCCUUCCUAGAUCCACUGAAUCUGUGUCCACAGGGAGAGAACAUGGAACCUUACAGCCAUGUCACGUUGCUUUUCUGCAAAAUAAUUUUGUGGGACCCAAUAUUCAAUCAGAAGAACAAAUGCCAGAGAAGAACUGAUAAAGGAACGAGUGAUGAAUAGUGCACCUUUGGGAUUAUGGCCCAUCUACAACAGGACCCACUAAUCGGAUAGUCUGGAUCAACAACACUUGCAGUGCCUGACUAUUAUCACAUGCUAAAUCUUGGAGGAAGGUUAGCAAAUUCAGGGCAGUUUCGUGAGAGGCAUUGAGCGGCCUGGGUAUUUCUAUGCCACCACCAGGGCGAGGGCAAGACAAACUCAUCUUCCACAAGGGGUUGUUUGGCACCAUGGAUUUGGAGGCUUUGAGGGGAUUUCAAAUCCCUUGUAUGUUUGGCAUCAUAAAGUAAAUGGGGGUUUCAAAUCCAAGGUGAAAUGUUGGAUUACAUUAUAAAAUCCUUCUAAGAGUUGUAUGUGUAACAUGUGUCACUAAGCAAUUAAUCUAUUGGCCACAUGGCCCACUGAAAUGAUAUCCCAAAACAAUCAGAUUAUCAAUUCCAUCACUAUAAUUACUGUAA